Molecule: transfer RNA, 65 nt
Filed under: Oplophorus typus
Lineage: Eukaryota; Metazoa; Arthropoda; Malacostraca; Decapoda; Oplophoridae
Description: tRNA-Tyr
Rfam family: tRNA
About the family: Transfer RNA (tRNA) molecules are approximately 80 nucleotides in length.
Source: RNAcentral
GGUUAAAUGGCUGAGGAAUAGGCGAUAGAUUGUAAAUCUAGGUAGGAAAGUUGUUUCUUUAACCA